RNAcentral lists this unclassified non-coding RNA (348 nucleotides) under soil metagenome. RNAcentral's name for it is "partial contains 5.8S ribosomal RNA, internal transcribed spacer 2, and large subunit ribosomal RNA". The stretch from base 1 to 120 matches the Rfam family "5.8S ribosomal RNA", at positions 35 to 154 of the family's 154-position model. The record is from RNAcentral.
GAUGAAGAACGUAGCGAAAUGCGAUAAGUAAUGUGAAUUGCAGAAUUCAGUGAAUCAUCGAAUCUUUGAACGCACAUUUCGCCCGCUGGUAUUCCGGCGGGCAUGCCUGUUCGAGCGUCAUUUCAACCCUCAAGCCCCCGGGUUUGGUGUUGGGGAUCGGCUCUGCCCUUCUGGGCGGUGCCGCCCCCGAAAUACAUUGGCGGUCUCGCUGCAGCCUCCAUUGCGUAGUAGCUAACACCUCGCAACUGGAACGCGGCGCGGCCAUGCCGUAAAACCCCAACUUCUGAAUGUUGACCUCGGAUCAGGUAGGAAUACCCGCUGAACUUAAGCAUAUCAAUAAGCGGAGGA